AUACGGAGGGUGCAAGCGUUGUUCGGAUUUACUGGGCGUAAAGAGCGUGUAGGCGGUUUAGCAAGUCAGAUGUGAAAGCCCCGGGCUCAACCCGGGAAGUGCAUUUGAAACUGCUUCAAUAGAGUAUGGGAGAGGAGAUUGGAAUUCCUGGUGUAGAGGUGAAAUUCGUAGAUAUCAGGAGGAACACCCGUGGCGAAGGCGAUUCUCUGGACCAAUACUGACGCUGAGACGCGAAAGCGUGGGGAGCAAACAGGAUUAGAUACCCGGGUAGUCC
This 274-nucleotide ribosomal RNA is filed under the name uncultured bacterium. Its description in RNAcentral is "partial 16S ribosomal RNA". It matches the Rfam family "Bacterial small subunit ribosomal RNA", at positions 523 to 796 of the family's 1533-position model. The record is from RNAcentral.